AAAAUUGAGUAUUUUUAAUUUUUUUCAUUUCUUUCAUUUGCACGAAAUCGUGUGUAGGGUUUCUUUCUCUUGCGAAAACGGCGACAGCUUCAUUCUCGACAUAGUCGCCGCCGAAGCUUUGUUUUCCGGCAAUUGAAACACGAAAUCGAAAGGAGAGAAGCUAGUUCCGUCCUAUUCCGUCGUUGUCUCCGUCGUUUCCUUUGUCCGGCUUUUGGCAAAUCGAAACCAAAUCUCAAUCGAAACCACUUAAUUACGAAUAGAAAAUUGCAUUGCCUAUUAUUUGCGAUUUCUUAAUUGCAUUGCCUGUUUCUUGUAGUUUCUUGGACCACUUCACGCAUAGAAAAUAGUUUUGUGAGAGAAUCCAUAGUUCUCUUCUCUGAAUUGUUUAAAUCUAUGUCGAAGUAGCUGAAAUCUAGGGUUUAGAUUCGCUCUUGCAGGUCGUUGCUGAGUUCUUCAAGCUUUGUUCUUUUUUUCUCCAAGAUAAUAAUGGAGUUUGAUAACGUUAGUCUAGAGGUCUUUUUAGCGGUAGGAGUAGUGGUAAGGAAGUAGUAGUAGAAGAAGAAGAGAGUGGGAGGAGCUUGAAAGUGUAUAGCAGGAAAGGGAAUCAUUCUAGAGGUAGUGAGGGUGGUGGUUCAGCGGUUAAAAGGAGAAUGCAUGGUUUGUUGUUUAGCACUUUGUUCAUUGAUUCAUUGACUCGGAUUUUAGCCCUAGUUGAAUCUCUUGGACUGUCUGAUCACUUCUUAGUCAAAGCUAUGACUAGCUAAGUGGUGUCACAGUAGUUAUAGGCUAUAGCAAAGGUCGUAACUCUCUUGGAUCAUGGGAAAGCUGAACUGAAGAAUCAAAGUUUCCUUAGUAGGCCGGUUUUAGCGAGCUUUAGCAGGAUGUGGGGAACAAGAUAAGUUUUGUUUAGUGUGUGUCAAGUGUUAUGACUUUUACUUAUACACAAGUUUUGGUUGCUGUGCCGAGGGAGAUGAGAGAUUGUUGGUAGCAGAGUAUAUGCCAAAUGAUACUCUCUCAAAGCAUCUCUUUCAAUGGGAAAAGUGGGUGUGGAUUCUUGGAUCAUUUGCAGCUUCCUUGGGUGAUGACAAAGAAGGAGCUCUCUGUUUUCAGUGUUUACAUGGAAUCUGUUGUUGUGGGUGAUGACAAAGAAGGAGCUCUCUGUUUUUUAAUUUGAAAGUUUUGUAGGUAAGUAUUAAUAAUUUUUUGUCCAAGAUCAUUGAAUUUGGUUUGUAUCUUUGUUCACAUUCAAGUUUUGGUCUAUAGUUAAUAAUAAAUUACAUC
Long non-coding RNA from Camelina sativa (false flax), 1281 nucleotides. RefSeq lists it as uncharacterized. Lineage: Eukaryota; Viridiplantae; Streptophyta; Magnoliopsida; Brassicales; Brassicaceae. The record is from RefSeq and is a predicted model, not a curated record.